GAAAAGCCCCCCGCUUACACCGGGACGACAUCUGCUCACCCAGAUCAUUUUGAGCCUAAAAUCUAGCCUUUCCCCCCCCCCAUAUUACCUCUUAAUUACAGACCCAAACAAAACAUUUUAACAUUAUAGUACAGGAGAUCAAAAAAUUUCUAAGCGCUUUAGAUAAAGUACCGAAAGGGAACAAUGAAAUAAAAUGAAAUAAUGUAAAGCUCAACAUAGCAAAAAUUUAACCUUGUACCUUUUGCAUCAUGGUCUAGCUAGUCUAAUCAAGCAAAAAGAAAAUUUAAGUUUGCCAUCCCGAAACUAAGCGAGCUACUUCAAAACAGCCUUAAGGGCCAACCCGUCUCUGUUGCAAAAGAGUGGGAAGAUUUUCAAGUAAAAGUGAUAGACCUAACGAGCUUAAAGAUAGCUGGUAAUUCAGAAAAUGAGUUUCAGCUCAACCUUAAGUUUCUUCGUUACAUUUAAAAACCCUUUAAACUUAAGAGCUACUCAAAUAAGGCACAGCUUAUUUGAAACAGGAUACAACCUAAAAUAUUGGGUAAACAAGGGACUAAACAGACCAAGUAGGCCUAAGAGCAGCCACCUUCAAAAAGCGUUACAGCUUAUUCUCUUACACUUAUAAUUCCAUACCCCCCGCCAAACCCUUAAUUAUAUACUGAAUUAUUUUAUAUACCUAUAAAAGUAAUUAUGCUAGAACUAGUAACAAGAAAUUGAAUUUCUCCUAAAUGUAAACAUAAGCCCUAAUGGACACACCACCGGCACUUAACGUCUAUGCAACUACUAUAACAACAACCCCAAGAACACCCUAUAAACUCCCACGUUAACCUUACACAAGAACAUUUCAGGAAAGAUUAAAAAAGAAAGAAGGAACUCGGCAAAUUUUAGCCCCGCCUGUUUACCAAAAACAUCGCCUCUUGACACAACAUAGGAGGUCCAGCCUGCCCAGUGACAGAGUUCAACGGCUACGGUACCCUGACCGUACGAAGGUAGCAUAAUCACUUGUUCCUUAAAUGGGGACUUGUAUCAACGGCAUCACGAGGGCUGCACUGUCUCCUUUCUUCAAUCAGUGAAACUGAUCCCCCCGUGAAGAAGCGGGGAUGAAAUUAUAAGACGAGAAGACCCCAUGGAGCUUUAAAUAAUACAGCCACACUAUCAAAAUAUCCUCUUACUAAAAGUCCUGACUGUAAAUUUUAGGUUGGGGAGACCGCGGAGAACAACUAAACCUCCACGACAGACGGCCUAAGCCCUUAUCCACGAAUAACACUUCUAAGAAUCAGUACUCUGAUGUUAUUGACCCGAUAUUAUUCGACUGACGAACCAAGUUACCCUGGGGAUAACAGCGCAAUCUACUUUGAGAGCCCAUAUCGACAAGUGGGUUUACGACCUCGAUGUUGGAUCAGGGUAUCCUUGUGGUGCAGCAGCUAC
This is a ribosomal RNA of 1425 nucleotides. It matches the Rfam family "Bacterial large subunit ribosomal RNA", at positions 366 to 2565 of the family's 2925-position model.